GCUUGGAAGCAGCCAUUCAUUUAAAGAGUGCGUAACAGCUCACUAGUCGAGCGGUUCGGCAUGGAUAAUAAUCGGGCAUAAACAUAUUACCGAAGCUAUGGACUUGUAAAAGUGGUAGGGGAGCAUUGUAGUGUCGUCGAAGGUAAAACGUGAGUUUUGCUGGAGAAGCUACAAAAGAAAAUGUAGGCAUAAGUAACGAUAAUGCGGGCGAGAAACCCGCACACCGAAAGACUAAGGUUUCCUCAGCUAUGCUAAUCAGCUGAGGGUUAGUCGGGACCUAACGCGAACCCGAAAGGGGUAGUGGAUGGACAACAGGUUAAUAUUCCUGUACCUGCUCUCAUUAAAAGUGACGGAUUGACCAGAUAUCUACGUGGUGACGGAAGUCCACGUUGAGCAUAGCCUUCGGGCGAAGCGAUGAUAAGUAAUCAGUUCCAAGAAAAGCGAGAGAAGCAGCCCGUACCGUAAACCGACACAGGUAGUUGGGAUGAGAAUUCUAAGGUGCUCGAGAGAUUCAUGGCUAAGGAACUAGGCAAAAUCGACCCGUAACUUCGGGAGAAGGGUCGCCCAUCUUCGGAUGGGCCGCAGUGAAAAGGUCCAGGCGACUGUUUAUCAAAAACACAGGGCUAUGCUAAAUCGAAAGAUGAUGUAUAUGGCCUGACACCUGCCCGGUGCUGGAAGGUUAAGUGGAGGGUUUAGCUUCGGCGAAGAUCUGAAAUGAAGCCCCAGUAAACGGCGGCCGUAACUAUAACGGUCCUAAGGUAGCGAAAUUCCUUGUCGGGUAAGUUCCGACCUGCACGAAUGGUGCAACGAUCUGGACACUGUCUCAACCAUGAGCUCGGUGAAAUUGUAGUAUCGGUGAAGAUGCCGAUUACCCGCAGUGGGACGAAAAGACCCCGUGAACCUUUACUAUAGCUUAGUAUUGGCUUUGGAUAAGUAAUGUGUAGGAUAGUUGGGAGACUUUGAAGCGGCAUCGCCAGGUGUUGUGGAGUCAUUGUUGAAAUACCAACCUUUGCUUAUCUAGAGUCUAACCUCUUACAAGGGACAGUGCUUGGUGGGUAGUUUGACUGGGGUGGUCGCCUCCAAAAGAGUAACGGAGGCUUC
RNAcentral lists this ribosomal RNA (1101 nucleotides) under seawater metagenome. RNAcentral's name for it is "bacterial LSU rRNA". It matches the Rfam family "Bacterial large subunit ribosomal RNA", at positions 1104 to 2310 of the family's 2925-position model. The record is from RNAcentral.